Molecule: RNA transcript, 1994 nt
Organism: Cryptomeria japonica (Japanese cedar)
Lineage: Eukaryota; Viridiplantae; Streptophyta; Pinopsida; Cupressales; Cupressaceae
Gene name: probable fructokinase-1
Exons: 7
Source: RefSeq, a predicted model, not a curated record
AAAAUGAGCCAUUGUAGACGCUGAAAACGUAUUAAAUUUCUCGUGUACCUCGCAUAGCCAUUACUGCGCCCAGGCACCAGAGAUCAGAGAUUAAAAUUUCACUUGGUUUUGAAUUGAAUGGAUUAUUCAGAAUAAGACUCUCUAGUCGUAAUGCUUGAUUCACAUAAUUUCGCAUAAUUUUCUUCAUGUCAUUAACUCGGUACUGACUGUAGAAGAAUUUUUUCAUCCAUUCCAUUUAAUUACGCCGAAAUGAUUCAUGGAAUUCAUUUAAUCGAAUGCUAAACUGUGAAUAUAAAUUAUCUCUUUGAAAUCUUCUUAUAAUGGCACUGACUAUCCAAUGGCAGUUAAGUCGAAUGUAGUGGUAGUUGCAUAAAUCAAAUGUGCAGCAAAAAAGGUAAUGAUGUUCCAACAGAAGUUAACUCGAAGAUAUGGAUAUAGAUCAUGGUGCAUUCUGGAUAGAGAGUUGGGGUUAAUUGGGUUUCGAUCUUAUGUUGAAAAUGCCCUAUCUGUUUAAUUUAGGAGGCUGCUGAGACUAAGGAUAGAGAGUUGGGGUUAAUUUUGGUUACCUGCCCUGCAUAUCCUUAGCAAGAAAGAGUUUUUGAGUGGGUGGGAGAGAAGCUUUGUUCAAUGGCAGCUCUGGAAAGUGAUUUCAAGAGGGCUAUGGAUUUGAACAGUGAAACCAAACGUUCCAAGAGCUCUGAUCUGACAAGUCACAUUUGGGGAAAUGCUCAUUGACUUUGUGCCCACUGUCUCUGGUGUUUCAUUGGCCAUGGUACCGGCCUUCAAGAAGGCUCCGGGUGGUGCACCAGCUAAUGUGGCUGUAGGGAUAGCCAAGAUGGGGGGUCAUGCAGCUUUCAUUGGGAAGGUUGGUGAUGAUGAAUUUGGACAUAUGUUGGCUGGGGUUCUUAAGGAAAAUGGUGUUGAUGACAAGGGGAUAUUGUUUGAUAGUCAUGCUAGAACAGCUCUUACUUUUGUAGCAUUGCGAAGUGAUGGAGAACGAGAGUUCACAUUUUAUCGUAAUCCCAGUGCUGACAUGCUAUUGACAGAGGCUGAACUUGAUAAGGACCUAAUUCAACAGGCACGAAUAUUUCAUUAUGGUUCAAUAAGUCUUCUUACAGAGCCAUGCAGAUCAGCUCAUUUUGCAGCUAUGAAAAUGGCAAAAGAUGCUGGUGCUAUCUUAUCAUAUGAUCCCAAUCUUAGGUUGCCAUUGUGGGCAUCUCCUGAAGAGGCUCGAAAUGGCAUUUUGAGCAUCUGGGAUAAAGCAGAUGUAAUUAAGGUCAGUGAAGAUGAAGUAGCAUUCCUUACAAAUGGUGGAGACUAUGAAAAGGCUGAAGUGAUUGAGACACUUAUGCAUCCUGGACUCAAGUUACUACUUAUAACUGAAGGAGGAAAAGGUUGCAGAUACCAUACCAAGAAUUUUCGAGGAAAAAUCAAGGGGUUAGCAGUGAACCCUGUAGACACAACUGGUGCUGGUGAUGCAUAUGUUGGGGCAUUUCUAAAUGAACUGGUCAAGUACAUGUCAUUACUUGAGAACGAAAAUAGAUUGAGGGAAGUUCUACUGUUUGCAAAUGGUGCUGGUGCAAUAACAACAACAGAAAAGGGUGCAAUUUCUGCAAUGCCAGACAGAGCUACUGUAAUGAGCCUCAUAAACAAGAGCCAGACUUCUUAAGUCUGCCUGAUUUAUUUGGACAGGUAUAAGUUCGAAAGCAAAUUGCAGUGGUAUGUGCUUCGAAUGGGGUGAAUUAUAGUGUCUAUUACAAAAUUUCUUCUCUUGUAAUCAGCUUGGAAAGCUUUCUUAAAUUGGGAUGUGUCUAUUCUGGUUCCAAAACGACAGUACUGAUUGACCAACACGUGGUCAACAGUCUAUAAGAAAGGUCUGUUUUGAAGCCAGAAUACACACGGCCCUCAAAUUGAGCUUUUCAUUAACUUAAAGGUUCAGAAAAAUGUUACACUUUUGUAAAGCUUCUCUUUCAAAUAAAAUAUCUGGUUUUUGC